Molecule: long non-coding RNA, 614 nt
Organism: Phragmites australis (common reed)
Lineage: Eukaryota; Viridiplantae; Streptophyta; Magnoliopsida; Poales; Poaceae
Exons: 3
Source: RefSeq, a predicted model, not a curated record
CGCGAGGCAAGGACCGAAGAGAAGAGGAGCAACAUCAGCACGAUGAGUGGAGCUCCAGUGCUUGUUGAACAGUUUGAGAACGCUACCUUCAGCUAUAUUGGUUCCAUUGCGAGCCCAGAGUGUCCACACUAUUAAAGAGUUAGACCUUCGAUUCCACGAGCCCCUCGCAUGAGCAUGACUACUACCAUUCGCUCUCAUGAUGGCCGGAGCGCCUAUGGCGGGCGGUGGUAGGACACCUCUCUCAAUAAUUGAGGAGGCACUGCUGACUGGUCUCGUCGACCGAUGGCGAUAUAAGACACACAUGUUUCACUUUUAUUUUGGCGAGAUGACCGUAACAUCGAGGGACAUGGCCAUGUUGAAUGGGCUACCAAUCAGGGGUGCCCCAUUAGUAGUUUCGUGACCAGUAAGGGAGCAGUUGAAGGGUUAUGUUGAGGGCAGGUUUGGUAUGCAAUAUGAUAUGAAGGAUAUUGGCCUCUCCAUGUCUUGGAUUUAUGGGCUGUCACAAUUAAGCCCAUGACCAUCGUAUGCGGACGAGGCUACACUUAUGCAGCACUAUGAGUUGUACUUGUAUGUCCUACUUGGAGGCAUCAUGUUAUGUAACACGGUAGGCGAUU